Molecule: ribosomal RNA, 440 nt
Filed under: uncultured bacterium
Lineage: Bacteria
Description: partial 16S ribosomal RNA
Rfam family: Bacterial small subunit ribosomal RNA
Source: RNAcentral
CCUACGGGAGGCAGCAGUGGGGAAUAUUGCACAAUGGGGGAAACCCUGAUGCAGCGACGUCGCGUGAGUGAAGAAGUACUUCGGUAUGGAAAGCCCUAUCAGCAGGGAAGAAAAUGACGGUACCUGAGUAAGAAGCCCCGGCUAACUACGUGCCAGCAACCGCGGUAAUACGUAGGGGGCAAGCGUUAUCCGGAUUUACUGGGUGUAAAGGGAGAGUAGACGGGAGUGCAAGUCUGGAGUGAAAGGCGGGGGCUCAACCCCCGGACUGCUGUUGAAACGGUACGGCUGGAGUGCAGGAGAGGUAAGUGGAAUGCGUGGUGUAGCGGUGAAAUGCGUAGAUAUUAGGAAGAACCCCGGUUGCGAAGGCAGCUUACUGGACUGCAACUGACGUUGAAGCUCGAAAGCGUGGGGAGCGAACAGGAUUAGAUACCCCAGUAGUC